Hippocampus comes (tiger tail seahorse) is the source of this 2647-nucleotide long non-coding RNA. RefSeq lists it as uncharacterized. Lineage: Eukaryota; Metazoa; Chordata; Actinopteri; Syngnathiformes; Syngnathidae. The record is from RefSeq and is a predicted model, not a curated record. The transcript is spliced from 2 exons.
CUUGAGUUUGAUACAUGUGGUCUAAGCUAACAUGUCAUACUACUCGUAAAGUAUAUAUAUUUUUUAAAUAAAACAUUUUAGUAUUUCUUUCAAAAAAAAAUCCCCAUGCAUGUUUAACUGAUAAUAUGCAUGAGAUGAAUCCACUAAAAUUGUACUGCAAUGAUUCCUGUCAAGUCUCAUCCACCAACCCGUUAUAAUAUAUUUGUUCACUGCAUCAUACGAUGAGAUCCAGCUCUCUAACCACCUCUGUGGGUUCUCAUUUUUACAACUAUAAUGUUCAAAGGUCAUUUUAAAAUUUGGAUUGACACUGAGGUAUUAAUUGAACAACUUGUUCGUCAUUGUGGUUGUAGCUCGGCAUUGAUGUAGCGUAGUGCUGCGCUAUGGUGAGUGUUUUCUCGUAUUUCGUUUUCCCCCAAUUCUCCGUAACAUGCAUUGAUGAAUACGUUGAUAAAUGAAUACCUCACUGACAUUGCCGGUCAAAAUGGAUUCCAUCUUCAGCACAAGUAUUUCACAUGGUGCAUCCACAGCAAGGUCAGACUCCUCGCACGGGCAUGGAAAAUGGCGAUGAAUGUUUGCGCUCGCUGCCUCGGCGCUUUAGCAGCACACGCCGUGAUGUUUUGAAUAUCAUGGAGUUGUUUUGCUUUAAGUGUAAAGCAAUUAUGACAAUAGUUAUUAGUAUGGCAGGAACUCAAAAGUCUCUUAACUACCACACCCAAUGCUGUGAUUUGUACAUUAGGUCAUAGAUGGGUUACUAUCGCCGGAGAUGGAGAUGCAUUGUUGCACGCAAACGUGUAUCUGCAAUACAUCUUGUUACUGGAAUUUUACUGGGUUCCGCAUCUUGUGGCUUAUCUGGGUUGCGGCGGCGGUGGUGGCAACGGACAAAAUAUGGUCAUUGUGGCCUUGAGGGUUGGGCUGAAUGAUUUAUUGUUUUGUUUUUUUUCUUUUUUUUUUUUUUUUCAAAACACGAUCACAUGAUCAUCUUUUUUAAAAAAUGUUAUUUAUUUAUUUUUAAAGCAGCACUCCUGACUGACCCUGAACUUGUUGUAUCACAUGUCUCCUACACAAACGCCAUCUCACUCCUCUCCUGCCAAACUGACCAAUCAGAAGGGACAUGCUACUUGCGAGCACAAGAGGCUAAUGCUAGUCGCUAAGCUAAUGUUAUUUUUUUUGGGGGGGCUCAGCUGUACUGUCCACUUUUCACAAGAAGUCUGGCAACCAUUCCAGCCACUGACGCAUCAAGUAAAACAGAAUUAACCAUUGUAUAUUUAAUAAACAGCAAAAUGUUCCAAUUUAAUUUCGUCAAGUCUGCUAGCUUCAUGCGAAAGAUAUUAUGUGAAACACCAUUGACAGAUCAUGAAACGUCGCGCAGAUGUUACCGAGAUUAUGUUUACACAGGGAAGGCAGCUUUAUUGAUCUCGCGCUGAAUUCUGAUUUGUCAAAGUUUUUUUUUUUUUUUUUUAACCUAACGUCGAGCUCUUCGUGGAAACUUACAAUUCCAUAAGCAGUCGAUUAAAAAUCAAGGAACGGGGAACACUGUAGAAAGUGGAAAUUCAGCCUUUUCAAAAGUAAUAUAAUGACACUUGGAAUGUUAAUCAACAGUAAAUAUUUUGGAGUCCUGGUCUUUCAUAACUACCUUUGAAAGCAAACCGCUAUGGCAUUUCUACUUCCUCUUUCAGGCCUUCACUUAUAAGGUCGCCCAUUUAAAGAGGCGUUGGCCUCACGGGGCGAGAUGACAAUCAUUUCUGAAACGGUACUGUCAGCGACUGCAGCACAGAACGAUGAUGUAUUUUGCUGUCAGGUGUGUUGUGGUAUUUGGAGGAGGGGCGCUGGACCGCUGCCACUCAACCACCACCACCGCCACCUACCCACCCGCAAACCCGCACCCCAACGGGGCUUGAGUGACAAGUCAAACCAGCCCAGUCGGUCUAUGCUCAAAUGCACCUCUGCACGUUUUUUUUUUUUUUUUUAUCAAGUCCAGCUGUAUUUACCUGUAAGCGCCGUUGUACUGUAUCAAGCAUUUUCUGAAUCGUCGUAUUUUUUUUUCCCCUGCACCGACAACUGAGCCGCCAAAGUGACACAAGGCGAUCUUAAGAAUGAAAUUCCUAUGCCUCUGCAUGCAUUGUUCCCCACGGUGGCUAUUUAAGUUCUUCUAAAGAAGAGUCAUGAAUAAAAAAUGCCACUAUUGCUAUUCUAUGACACGACUACUACUAUUUCAUAUUUUGGCUCUUGACAACACGAGGGCAUUAUUGCGCUAUCCAGUCAUGUAGCUGGGCAUCUGUUGUCAUCGAGAGUCAUCAUCGGCCGCGCUCACCAGCCCUCGAAUAAACAUCAUGGUCGGUUGGCGAUGGCGCCCAGCUAUGGAGUUGAUCGUUCUGACAAAGCCAAUAUGUGCUCUAUUUGUGUUGGCAAUUUUGCAAAGUCCAUCAGCACAAUCAGAAAACAUGUACACACAAAAAAAAAAAAAAAAAACGAUAAUGGUAGUGUUUAUAUAAUUCCUUGUAACCUCCUGUUGCACGCCACCUAUAUUCGAUUAUAUUUUCUGAGAAUGCGUUAUGUGGAAUACACAUCAUUAGUUAGUUCUGAAAAUAGCACCCUAUAAUAUUGUAUUCGAUAAAAACAUACAGUAAUAACAUUAAGUAAAAUGGAA